UACAGAGGGUGCGAGCGUUAAUCGGAAUUACUGGGUGUAAAGGGCGCGUAGGCGGUGAGACGAGUGUGUUGUGAAAGCCCCGGGCUUAACCUGGGAAGAGCAAUGCAAACGGUCUGACUAGAGUAUAUGAGAGGGUGGCGGAAUUUCCGGUGUAGCGGUGAAAUGCGUAGAGAUCGGAAGGAACGUCGAUGGCGAAGGCAGCCACCUGGCAUAAUACUGACGCUGAGGCGCGAAAGCGUGGGGAGCGAACAGG
RNAcentral lists this ribosomal RNA (253 nucleotides) under uncultured Aquicella sp. RNAcentral's name for it is "partial 16S ribosomal RNA". It matches the Rfam family "Bacterial small subunit ribosomal RNA", at positions 524 to 776 of the family's 1533-position model. Lineage: Bacteria; Pseudomonadati; Pseudomonadota; Gammaproteobacteria; Legionellales; Coxiellaceae. The record is from RNAcentral.